Molecule: ribosomal RNA, 164 nt
Filed under: Ornithopus compressus
Lineage: Eukaryota; Viridiplantae; Streptophyta; Magnoliopsida; Fabales; Fabaceae
Also listed under: 16 other names
Description: 5.8S ribosomal RNA
Rfam family: 5.8S ribosomal RNA
About the family: 5.8S ribosomal RNA (5.8S rRNA) is a component of the large subunit of the eukaryotic ribosome.
Source: RNAcentral
CAUAAUGACUCUCGGCAACGGAUAUCUCGGCUCUCGCAUCGAUGAAGAACGUAGCGAAAUGCGAUACUUGGUGUGAAUUGCAGAAUCCCGUGAACCAUCGAGUCUUUGAACGCAAGUUGCGCCCGAUGCCAUUAGGUUGAGGGCACGUCUGCCUGGGUGUCACA